Molecule: ribosomal RNA, 1451 nt
Filed under: uncultured organism
Description: SSU rRNA
Rfam family: Bacterial small subunit ribosomal RNA
Source: RNAcentral
GGCGGCAUGCCUUACACAUGCAAGUCGAACGGCAGCACGGGUGCUUGCACCUGGUGGCGAGUGGCGAACGGGUGAGUAAUACAUCGGAACAUGUCCUGUAGUGGGGGAUAGCCCGGCGAAAGCCGGAUUAAUACCGCAUACGAUCUACGGAUGAAAGCGGGGGACCUUCGGGCCUCGCGCUAUAGGGUUGGCCGAUGGCUGAUUAUCUAGUUGGUGGGGUAAAGGCCUACCAAGGCGACGAUCAGUAGCUGGUCUGAGAGGACGACCAGCCACACUGGGACUGAUACACGGCCCACACUCCUACGGGAGGCAGCAGUGGGGAAUUUUGGACAAUGGGCGAAAGCCUGAUCCAGCAAUGCCGCGUGUGUGAAGAAGGCCUUCGGGUUGUAAAGCACUUUUGUCCGGAAAGAAAUCCUUGGCUCUAAUACUGUCGGGGGAUGACGGUACCGGAAGAAUAGGCACCGGCUAACUACGUGCCAGCACCCGCGGUAAUACAUAAGGUGCGAGCGUUAAUCAGAAUUACUGGGCGUAAAGCGUGCGCAUGCGGUUUGCUAACACCGAUGUGAAAUCCCCGGGCUCAACCUGGGAACUGCAUUGGUGACUGGCAGGCUAGAGUAUGGCAGAGGGGGGUAGAAUUCCACGUGUAGCAGUGAAAUGCGUAGAGAUGUGGAGGAAUACCGAUGGCGAAGGCAGCCCCCUGGGCCAAUACUGACGCUCAUGCACGAAAGCGUGGGGAGCAAACAGGAUUAGAUACCCUGGUAGUCCACGCCCUAAACGAUGUCAACUAGUUGUUGGGGAUUCAUUUCCUUAGUAACGUAGCUAACGCGUGAAGUUGACCGCCUGGGGAGUACGGUCGCAAGAUUAAAACUCAAAGGAAUUGACGGGGACCCGCACAAGCGGUGGAUGAUGUGGAUUAAUUCGAUGCAACGCGAAAAACCUUACCUACCCUUGACAUGGUCGGAAUCCCGCUGAGAGGUGGGAGUGCUCGAAAGAGAACCGGCGCACAGGUGCUGCAUGGCUGUCGUCAGCUCGUGUCGUGAGAUGUUGGGUUAAGUCCCGCAACGAGCGCAACCCUUGUCCUUAGUUGCUACGCAAGAGCACUCUAAGGAGACUGCCGGUGACAAACCGGAGGAAGGUGGGGAUGACGUCAAGUCCUCAUGGCCCUUAUGGGUAGGGCUUCACACGUCAUACAAUGGUCGGAACAGAGGGUUGCCAACCCGCGAGGGGGAGCUAAUCCCAGAAAACCGAUCGUAGUCCGGAUUGCACUCUGCAACUCGAGUGCAUGAAGCUGGAAUCGCUAGUAAUCGCGGAUCAGCAUGCCGCGGUGAAUACGUUCCCGGGUCUUGUACACACCGCCCGUCACACCAUGGGAGUGGGUUUUACCAGAAGUGGCUAGUCAAACCGCAAGGAGGACGGUCACCACGGUAGGACUCAUGACUUGGGUGAAGUCG